GACGAACGCUGGCGGCGCGCCUAACACAUGCAAGUCGAACGGAGUUAACUGAACUGAAGUUUUCGGAUGGAUUUUUGGUUAACUUAGUGGCGAACGGGUGAGUAACGCGUGGGUAACCUGCCUUUCAGAGGGGGACAACAGUUGGAAACGACUGCUAAUACCGCAUAAGACCACGGUACCGCAUGGUACAGUGAUCAAAGGAGAAAUCCGCUGAAAGAUGGGCCCGCGUCUGAUUAGAUAGUUGGUGGGGUAACGGCCUACCAAGUCGACGAUCAGUAGCCGACCUGAGAGGGUGACCGGCCACAUUGGGACUGAGACACGGCUCAA
Molecule: ribosomal RNA, 327 nt
Filed under: uncultured bacterium
Lineage: Bacteria
Description: bacterial SSU rRNA
Rfam family: Bacterial small subunit ribosomal RNA
Source: RNAcentral